AACGUAGGAGACAAACGUUAUCCGGAGUUACUGGGCGUAAAGGGCGUGUAGGCGGUUAGUUAAGUCUGGCGUGAAAGCUCUCGGCUAAACCGGGAGAGGUCGUUGGAUACUGGCUGACUAGAGUACAGAAGGGGCAACUGGAAUUCUCGGUGUAGCGGUGAAAUGCGUAGAUAUCGAGAGGAACACCUGCGGCGAAGGCGGGUUGCUGGGCUGAUACUGACGCUGAGGCGCGAAAGCCAGGGGAGCGAACGGG
Molecule: ribosomal RNA, 253 nt
Filed under: uncultured bacterium
Lineage: Bacteria
Description: partial 16S ribosomal RNA
Rfam family: Bacterial small subunit ribosomal RNA
Source: RNAcentral